GUGUUGACAGUAACAACGAAAAUUUUCUACUUUCUCUGAAAAUCAUUUUUUUUCUAAACAACAGCUGGAGGAGGGAAUUUACAUUUGCUGGCAUCGCUGUUGCAACCAGUGCCAUCGAACACAUAAUUUGGUGGACAGGCCAUCACCUCGGAUGGUUUAGCUGAAGCAGCACUACAAUA
Bradysia coprophila is the source of this 179-nucleotide long non-coding RNA. Lineage: Eukaryota; Metazoa; Arthropoda; Insecta; Diptera; Sciaridae. The record is from RefSeq and is a predicted model, not a curated record.